CCACUCCCCUGGCAGGGAGAUACAAUGUUUACCAAAGUGAUUUUCUCAGGCUGAGGCUUUUCCAUUGCACUUUGGAUGUGCUGGCCCUUUCAGUUUCCCCAAAUGUGGGAAACUCGGCUGUAUAGUUUGUGGUAGUGGGGCAGCUCCGGAGGAUCUGAAGGCCUUU
Small nuclear RNA from Psammomys obesus (fat sand rat), 166 nucleotides. RefSeq annotates it as U1 spliceosomal RNA. NCBI's taxonomy places the organism in Eukaryota, Metazoa, Chordata, Mammalia, Rodentia, Muridae. The transcript has a single exon. The record is from RefSeq and is a predicted model, not a curated record.